AUCUAGGGCCAUACCACCCUGAGCACACCCAGUCUCGUCUGAUCUUGGAAGCUGAGCAGGAUCGGGCCUGGUUAGUACUUGGAUGGGAGACCAGGACCAGUGAGGCAUGAAGUACUUUGAUC
Molecule: ribosomal RNA, 122 nt
Filed under: Octodon degus (degu)
Lineage: Eukaryota; Metazoa; Chordata; Mammalia; Rodentia; Octodontidae
Source: RNAcentral